This is a non-coding RNA of Chionomys nivalis (European snow vole), 375 nucleotides long. The record is from the annotation of a RefSeq genome assembly. Lineage: Eukaryota; Metazoa; Chordata; Mammalia; Rodentia; Cricetidae.
AUGGACUUAAGGCUCACAUCGGCUUUCUUUGUUCUUAUUUUAAAAGGUGUCCAAUGUAAGGUGCAAUUCCUGGAGUCUAGGGGAGGUUUAGUGCAACCUGGAAAGUCCCUGAAACUCUCCUAUGCAAACUCUGGAUUCACCUUCAGUGAUUAUUACAUGGACUGGGUCCGCCAGGCUUCCGUGAAGGCUUUGGAGUGGGUCGCAACCGUUAGCAGCGAUGGUGGUAACACCUGGUAUAUGGACGCUGUGAAGGGCCGGUUCACAAUCUCCAGAGACAAUGCCAAGAACACUCUGUACCUGGAAAUGAGCAGUCUGAGGUCUGAGGACACAGCCAUGUAUUACUGUGCAAGAAACACAGUGAGUGAAUGCUACUGA